Triticum aestivum (bread wheat) is the source of this 326-nucleotide long non-coding RNA. RefSeq lists it as uncharacterized. The transcript is spliced from 2 exons. The record is from RefSeq and is a predicted model, not a curated record. Lineage: Eukaryota; Viridiplantae; Streptophyta; Magnoliopsida; Poales; Poaceae.
CAGCACCUCACGCCUCAUCUCUUUGCUGCCUCGCCGGAGACGCCGCUCCUCGCGCCGCCACAGAUUAGAAAGAGGGCGUAGGAUGAGAGAGUGGAGAAGAAGAUACCUGGGUAGCUGACGCUGCGGUCCUCGAUCAACAGUCACACACCGCCAUGAGAAAGAGACAAGAGAUGGAGAGUACAGCAUGAAGAAGAAGAAGAAAUCCGAUCGUCACACACCGAACUUUUUUGUCCGUCCGAUCGUCACGUAUCAGAUUCUGAUUUUUUUAAUCAAAGAAUAACGAUCAAUGUUCUGAAUUAAUCCACAUAACAGAUAGAAGCACAAUA